RNAcentral lists this long non-coding RNA (779 nucleotides) under Homo sapiens (human). Its description in RNAcentral is "non-protein coding lnc-CEBPD-3:1". The record is from RNAcentral. Lineage: Eukaryota; Metazoa; Chordata; Mammalia; Primates; Hominidae.
CAUGGCUGGUGGUCCCAAGAAGCAUCUAAAGUGGGUAGCAGCUCCAAAUCACUGGAUGCUGGAUAAAUUGUCCAGUGUGUUUGUUCAUCGUCCAUCCCCCAGUCCCCACAAGUUGAGAGAGUGUCUCCCCGUCAUCAUUUUCCUAAGGAACAGACUUAAGUAUGCCUUGACAGGAGAAGAUUUGCAUGCAGUGGUUCAUUAAGAUUGAUGGCAACGUUCGAACUGAUAUAACCCACCCUGCUGGAUUCAUAGAUGUCAUGGGCAUUGACUAGAUGGGAGAGAAUUUUCGUCUCAUCUAUGACACCAAGGGUUGCUUUGCUGUACAUCGUGUUACACCUGAGGAGCCCAAGUACAAGUUGUGCAAAGUGAGAAAAAUCUUCGUGGGCACAAAAGGAAUCCCUCAUCUGGUGACUCAUGAUGCUCGCAUCAUCUGCUACCCUGAUCCCCUCCAUCAAGGUGAAUGAUCCCAUUCAGAUUGAUUUGGAAACUGGCAAGAUCACUGAUUUCAUCAAGUUUGACACUGGUAACCUGUGGAUGGUGACUGGAGGUGCUAACUUGGGAAGAACUGGUGUCAUUACCCACAGAGAGAGGCACCCUUGAUCUUUUGAUGUGGUUCACGUGAAAGAUGCCAAUGGAACAGCUUUGCCACCUGGCUUUCCAACGUUUUUGUUACUGGCAAGGGCAACAAACCAUUAAUUUCUCUUCCCUGAGGAAACGUAUACGCCUCACCAUUGCUGAAGACGGAGACAAGAGACUGGCAGCCAAACACAGCAGUAGGU